Molecule: small RNA, 27 nt
Filed under: Bombyx mori (domestic silkworm)
Lineage: Eukaryota; Metazoa; Arthropoda; Insecta; Lepidoptera; Bombycidae
Description: ovarian small RNA-12953
Source: RNAcentral
CACCGAAGCAACCAUGUCCAGUGAGCA